This 429-nucleotide ribosomal RNA is filed under the name Pseudomonadota bacterium. RNAcentral describes it as "Proteobacteria bacterium partial 16S ribosomal RNA". It matches the Rfam family "Bacterial small subunit ribosomal RNA", at positions 355 to 776 of the family's 1533-position model. Lineage: Bacteria; Pseudomonadati; Pseudomonadota. The record is from RNAcentral.
UGGGGAAUAUUGGACAAUGGGCGAAAGCCUGAUCCAGCCAUGCCGCGUGUGUGAAGAAGGUCUUCGGAUUGUAAAGCACUUUAAGUUGGGAGGAAGGGCAGUAAGCGAAUACCUUGCUGCUUUGACGUUACCGACAGAAUAAGCACCGGCUAACUCUGUGCCAGCAGCCGCGGUAAUACAGAGGGUGCAAGCGUUAAUCGGAAUUACUGGGCGUAAAGCGCGCGUAGGUGGUUCGUUAAGUUGAAUGUGAAAGCCCCGGGCUCAACCUGGGAACUGCAUCCAAAACUGGCGAGCUAGAGUAGGGCAGAGGGUGGUGGAAUUUCCUGUGUAGCGGUGAAAUGCGUAGAUAUAGGAAGGAACACCAGUGGCGAAGGCGACCACCUGGGCUCAUACUGACGCUGAGGUGCGAAAGCGUGGGGAGCAAACAGG